This 806-nucleotide ribosomal RNA is filed under the name Candidatus Pelearchaeum maunauluense. RNAcentral describes it as "bacterial SSU rRNA". It matches the Rfam family "Archaeal small subunit ribosomal RNA", at positions 1 to 785 of the family's 1478-position model. The record is from RNAcentral. Lineage: Archaea; Thermoproteati; Nitrososphaerota; Candidatus Caldarchaeales; Candidatus Calditenuaceae.
ACUCCGGUUGAUCCUGCCGGACCUCACCGCUAUCGGGGUGGGACUAAGCCAUGCAAGUCUUAGGCUCGCGGCCACCCGCGGGCCUGGCGUACGGCUCAGUAACACGUGGCCAACCUACCCCAAGGAGGGGGAUAACCCCGGGAAACUGGGGUUAAACCCCCAUAGGAGACGGGUUCUGGAACGACCCGUCUCCGAAAGUGCCUCGCGGGGAUGCUCCGCGAGAGCAGCCUUGGGAUGGGGCUGCGGCCUAUCAGGUAGUUGGUGGGGUAACGGCCCACCAAGCCUAUAACGGGUACGGGCCCUGAGAGGGGGAGCCCGGAGAUGGACUCUGAGACAAGAGUCCAGGCCCUACGGGGCGCAGCAGGCGCGAAACCUCCGCAAUGCGCUAACGCGUGACGGGGCUACCCCGAGUGCCACCCUCGUGGUGGCUUUUGCGCGGUCUAAAAAGCCGCGCGAAUAAGCGGGGGGCAAGAUGGGUGUCAGCCGCCGCGGUAAUACCCGCUCCGCGAGUGGUGAGGACUAUUACUGGGCUUAAAGCGCCCGUAGCCGGCCAGGUGUGUCCUCCGUUAAAUCCACAGGCCUAACCUGUGGGCUGCGGAGGAUACUACCUGGCUUGGGGGUGGGAGAGGGCGGCGGUAUUCCCGGGGUAGGGGUAAAAUCCACUGAUCCCGGGAGGACCACCAGUGGCGAAGGCGGCCGCCCAGAACACGCCCGACGGUGAGGGGCGAAAGCUGGGGGAGCAAACGGGAUUAGAUACCCCGGUAGUCCCAGCCGUAAACGAUGCGGGCUAGGUGUCGGGCUGGCCA